GUAGGUGAACCUGCGGAAGGAUCAUUACCGAGUGAGGGCCCUCUGGGUCCAACCUCCCACCCGUGUUUAUCGUACCUUGUUGCUUCGGCGGGCCCGCCUCACGGCCGCCGGGGGGCAUCCGCCCCCGGGCCCGCGCCCGCCGAAGACACACAAACGAACUCUUGUCUGAAGAUUGCAGUCUGAGUACUUGACUAAAUCAGUUAAAACUUUCAACAACGGAUCUCUUGGUUCCGGCAUCGAUGAAGAACGCAGCGAAAUGCGAUAAGUAAUGUGAAUUGCAGAAUUCAGUGAAUCAUCGAGUCUUUGAACGCACAUUGCGCCCCCUGGUAUUCCGGGGGGCAUGCCUGUCCGAGCGUCAUUGCUGCCCUCAAGCACGGCUUGUGUGUUGGGCUCUCGCCCCCCGCUUCCGGGGGGCGGGCCCGAAAGGCAGCGGCGGCACCGCGUCCGGUCCUCGAGCGUAUGGGGCUUCGUCACCCGCUCUGUAGGCCCGGCCGGCGCCCGCCGGCGAACACCAUCAAUCUUAACCAGGUUGACCUCGGAUCAGGUAGGGAUACCCGCUGAACUUAAGCAUAUCAAU
Molecule: ribosomal RNA, 577 nt
Filed under: Penicillium sp. SK9-1
Lineage: Eukaryota; Fungi; Ascomycota; Eurotiomycetes; Eurotiales; Aspergillaceae
Description: eukaryotic LSU rRNA
Rfam family: 5.8S ribosomal RNA (bases 205-358)
Source: RNAcentral